This 440-nucleotide ribosomal RNA is filed under the name uncultured bacterium. RNAcentral's name for it is "partial 16S ribosomal RNA". The record is from RNAcentral.
GACUACUGGGGUAUCUAAGCCCGUUCGCUCCCCUGGCUUUCGCACCUCAGCGUCAGGCGUGGCCCAGUUGACCGCCUUCGCCACGGGUGUUCCUCCUGAUCUCUACGCAUUUCACCGCUACACCAGGAAUUCCAUCAACCUCUACCACCCUCGAGCUCUGCCGGUGCGGCGGACCUCUCCCAGUUGAGCCGGGAGCUUUCACCACCGCCGUACAAAGCCGCCUACGUGCGCUUUACGCCCAGUAAUUCCGGAUAACGCUUGCCCCCCCCGUCUUACCGCGGCUGCUGGCACGGAGUUAGCCGGGGCUUCUUCCUCAGGUACCGUCAUUAUCGUCCCCAAGAAAAGCGGUUUACAAUCCGAAGAUCGUCAUCCCGCACGCGGCGUCGCUGCGUCAGGGUUUCCCCCAUUGCGCAAGAUUCCCCACUGCAGCCCCCCGUAGG